CCUACGGGGGGCAGCAGUGGGGAAUAUUGGACAAUGGGCGAAAGCCUGAUCCAGCCAUGCCGCGUGUGUGAAGAAGGCCUUCGGGUUGUAAAGCACUUUCAGUGGGGAAGAAAGCCUUGGGGCUAAUACCCUCGAGGAAGGACAUCACCCACAGAAGAAGCACCGGCUAACUCCGUGCCAGCAGCCGCGGUAAUACGGAGGGUGCGAGCGUUAAUCGGAAUUACUGGGCGUAAAGCGCGCGUAGGCGGUCUGAUAAGCCGGCUGUGAAAGCCCCGGGCUCAACCUGGGAACGGCAUCCGGAACUGUCAGGCUAGAGUGCAGGAGAGGAAGGUAGAAUUCCCGGUGUAGCGGUGAAAUGCGUAGAGAUCGGGAGGAAUACCAGUGGCGAAGGCGGCCUUCUGGACUGACACUGACGCUGAGGUGCGAAAGCGUGGGUAGCAAACAGGAUUAGAUACCCCUGUAGUC
RNAcentral lists this ribosomal RNA (465 nucleotides) under Vreelandella stevensii. RNAcentral describes it as "partial 16S ribosomal RNA". It matches the Rfam family "Bacterial small subunit ribosomal RNA", at positions 338 to 795 of the family's 1533-position model. The record is from RNAcentral. Lineage: Bacteria; Pseudomonadati; Pseudomonadota; Gammaproteobacteria; Oceanospirillales; Halomonadaceae.